GAUGAACGCUGGCGGCGUGCCUAAUACAUGCAAGUCGAGCGAACAGACGAGGAGCUUGCUCCUUUGACGUUAGCGGCGGACGGGUGAGUAACACGUGGAUAACCUACCUAUAAGACUGGGAUAACUUCGGGAAACCGGGGCUAAUACCGGAUAACAUGUUGAACCGCAUGGUUCAACAGUGAAAGACGGUCUUGCUGUCACUUAUAGAUGGAUCCGCGCCGCAUUAGCUAGUUGGUAAGGUAACGGCUUACCAAGGCAAUGAUGCGUAGCCGACCUGAGAGGGUGAUCGGCCACACUGGAACUGAGACACGGUCCAGACUCCUACGGGAGGCAGCAGUAGGGAAUCUUCCGCAAUGGGCGAAAGCCUGACGGAGCAACGCCGCGUGAGUGAAGAAGGUCUUCGGAUCGUAAAACUCUGUUAUUAGGGAAGAACAAAUGUGUAAGUAACUAUGCACGUCUUGACGGUACCUAAUCAGAAAGCCACGGCUAACUACGUGCCAGCAGCCGCGGUAAUACGUAGGUGGCAAGCGUUAUCCGGAAUUAUUGGGCGUAAAGCGCGCGUAGGCGGUUUUUUAAGUCUGAUGUGAAAGCCCACGGCUCAACCGUGGAGGGUCAUUGGGAACUGGAAAACUUGAGUGCAGAAGAGGAAAGUGGAAUUCCAUGUGUAGCGGUGAAAUGCGCAGAGAUAUGGAGGAACACCAGUGGCGAAGGCGACUUUCUGGUCUGUAACUGACGCUGAUGUGCGAAAGCGUGGGGAUCAAACAGGAUUAGAUGCCCUGGUAGUCCACGCCGUAAACGAUGAGUGCUAAGUGUUAGGGGGUUUCCGCCCCUUAGUGCUGCAGCUAACGCAUUAAGCACUCCGCCUGGGGAGUACGACCGCAAGGUUGAAACUCAAAGGAAUUGACGGGGACCCGCACAAGCGGUGGAGCAUGUGGUUUAAUUCGAAGCAACGCGAAGAACCUUACCAAAUCUUGACAUCCUCUGACCCCUCUAGAGAUAGAGUUUUCCCCUUCGGGGGACAGAGUGACAGGUGGUGCAUGGUUGUCGUCAGCUCGUGUCGUGAGAUGUUGGGUUAAGUCCCGCAACGAGCGCAACCCUUAAGCUUAGUUACCAUCAUUAAGUUGGGCACUCUAAGUUGACUGCCGGUGACAAACCGGAGGAAGGUGGGGAUGACGUCAAAUCAUCAUGCCCCUUAUGAUUUGGGCUACACACGUGCUACAAUGGACAAUACAAAGGGUAGCGAAACCGCGAGGUCAAGCAAAUCCCAUAAAGUUGUUCUCAGUUCGGAUUGUAGUCUGCAACUCGACUACAUGAAGCUGGAAUCGCUAGUAAUCGUAGAUCAGCAUGUUACGGUGAAUACGUUCCCGGGUCUUGUACACACCGCCCGUCACACCACGAGAGUUUGUAACACCCGAAGCCGGUGGAGUAACCUUUUGGAGCUAGCCGUCGAAGGUGGGACAAAUGAUUGGGGUGAAGUCGUAACAAGGUAGCCGUAUCGGAAGG
RNAcentral lists this ribosomal RNA (1503 nucleotides) under uncultured bacterium. RNAcentral describes it as "bacterial SSU rRNA". It matches the Rfam family "Bacterial small subunit ribosomal RNA". The record is from RNAcentral.